This 532-nucleotide ribosomal RNA is filed under the name uncultured bacterium. RNAcentral's name for it is "partial 16S ribosomal RNA". The record is from RNAcentral.
GGAGUUAGCCGGUGCUUCUUCUGUGAGUGAUGUCCUUCCUGCCGGCUAUUAACCCGCAGGCCUUCUUCCUCACUGAAAGUGCUUUACAACCCGAAGGCCUUCUUCACACACGCGGCAUGGCUGGAUCAGGGUUGCCCCCAUUGUCCAAUAUUCCCCACUGCUGCCUCCCGUAGGAGUCUGGGCCGUGUCUCAGUCCCAGUGUGGCUGAUCAUCCUCUCAGACCAGCUACGGAUCGUCGCCUUGGUGAGCCGUUACCUCACCAACCAGCUAAUCCGACAUAGGCUCAUCCGAUAGCGCGAGGCCCGAAGGUCCCCCGCUUUCCCCCGUAGGGCGUAUGCGGUAUUAGCCUGGGUUUCCCCAGGUUAUCCCCCACUACCGGGCAGAUUCCUAUGCAUUACUCACCCGUCCGCCGCUCGCCACCAGGGAGCAAGCUCCCCGUGCUGCCGCUCGACUUGCAUGUGUUAGGCCUGCCGCCAGCGUUCAAUCUGAGCCAGNANACACUNACNCGUGNGGCGUGCGACGACGGCGCUAG